AUUGAACGCUGGCGGCAUGCCUUACACAUGCAAGUCGAACGGCAGCGCGGACUUCGGUCUGGCGGCGAGUGGCGAACGGGUGAGUAAUGUAUCGGAACGUACCAUUGAGUGGGGGAUAACGUAGCGAAAGUUACGCUAAUACCGCAUAUUCUCUCCGGAGGAAAGCAGGGGACCGCAAGGCCUUGCGCUCUUUGAGCGGCCGAUAUCAGAUUAGCUAGUUGGUGGGGUAAAAGCUCACCAAGGCGACGAUCUGUAGCGGGUCUGAGAGGAUGAUCCGCCACACUGGAACUGAGACACGGUCCAGACUCCUACGGGAGGCAGCAGUGGGGAAUUUUGGACAAUGGGGGCAACCCUGAUCCAGCCAUGCCGCGUGAGUGAAGAAGGCCUUCGGGUUGUAAAGCUCUUUCGGCCGGGAAAAAAUCGCAUGGAUUAAUACUCUGUGUGGAUGAUGGUACCGGAAUAAGAAGCACCGGCUAACUACGUGCCAGCAGCCGCGGUAA
This 500-nucleotide ribosomal RNA is filed under the name uncultured bacterium. RNAcentral describes it as "partial 16S ribosomal RNA". It matches the Rfam family "Bacterial small subunit ribosomal RNA", at positions 30 to 523 of the family's 1533-position model. The record is from RNAcentral.